UUUCCGUAGGUGAACCUGCGGAAGGAUCAUUAAAAAAUUGGACUCCAUUGGUGAGUUCAUUAAUAAUCCCUACCCUUUGUGAAUUUGUUUGUUUGAAUAAUUUUUUUUCCAAAAAAAAUUAUUGAAUGUCUUUCCUUGUUUUGGUGGAGCUUGUAAAGUGAAACCAGGCAGGGGAAUGGCAAACAAUAAUUAUUUUUGAAAAAGACCUUUUUUUAAAAUUAAACUUUUUGUACUCAUUUGUCUAAAAUUAAUUUUUAUAAUAUAAAAACAACUUUUGACAAUGGAUCUCUUGGUUCUCGCAACGAUGAAGAACGCAGCAAAAUGCGAUAAGUAGUGUGAAUUGCAGAAUACGUGAAUCAUCGAAUCUUCGAACGCAUAUUGCACUUUUUUAGUUUACUAAAAAAGUAUGUCUGUUUGAGUAUCAGUAAAAUAUUCUCAUAAAAAACAUUGUUUUUUUUUAUGGUUAUGAGUGUUUUACAACGAUAACAAGUUGUUUCACUUUAAAUUCUUUGUUAUCAAAAAAAUCAUUAAAAGCUAAUUUUAAAGAUUUUUUAAAAUUGGAUAAAAUUUUCCCGUAAAAAGGAAUAACCUAAACAAUUUUAAAAAAUUAAAAUUGGUUUGAUUUUUUUUGAAACCCAAAGGAAAAAAAAACGAAAUUAACUUGAUCUCAAAUCAGAUAAGAGUACCCGCUGAACUUAAGCAUACCAAUAAGCGGAGGAAAAGAAACUAACUAGGAUUCCCUCAGUAACGGCGAGUGAAGCGGGAAGAGCUCAAAUUUGAAAUCUUCAAGGUUUUACCUUGACGAAUUGUAGUUUAAAGAAGUGUUUUCUGUUGGAGUUUUGGUAAAAGUUCUUUGGAAAAGGACAUCAUAGAGGGUGAGAAUCCCGUAUUUGACCAUUAUCUCCAGCUUUGUGAUACACUUUCAAAGAGUCGGAUUGUUUGGGAAUGCAGUCCAAAAUGGGUGGUAAAUUUCAUCUAAAGCUAAAUACUGGCGAGAGACCGAUAGCGAACAAGUACCGUGAGGGAAAGAUGAAAAGAACUUUGAAAAGAGAGUUAAACCGUACGUGAAAUUGUCAAAAGGGAAGCGUUUGACACCAGUGUUGUUUUCUCGAAAAUCAAUUAAAAAAGGCCGGAUUUUGUGUUGUAUUGACUUUAUCAGCUUUCUGCACUCUUUUCUUGUCUUUUUUAAUGCACUUUUCGUUUAACAAGUCAACAUCAAUUUCUUUUGUUGUAAAAGGGUCAUUGGAAGGUGGCUUUCUUUUCGGAGAAAGUGUUUAUAGCCUUUGGCCUCUGCAAUCGGAGAGAUUGAGGUCUGCAGCGUAGAUCCUUCGGGGUUAGAUACAUUUGUGCUAAGUUAUAGCCUUUCAUAGACAACUUGUUGACUAUGAUCAGUCAUGUAGCUUACUCGCUUAUGCUAUUU
This 1420-nucleotide unclassified non-coding RNA is filed under the name uncultured Neocallimastigales. RNAcentral describes it as "partial contains small subunit ribosomal RNA, internal transcribed spacer 1, 5.8S ribosomal RNA, internal transcribed spacer 2, and large subunit ribosomal RNA". The stretch from base 663 to 1420 matches the Rfam family "Eukaryotic large subunit ribosomal RNA", at positions 1 to 617 of the family's 3401-position model. The record is from RNAcentral. Lineage: Eukaryota; Fungi; Neocallimastigomycota; Neocallimastigomycetes; Neocallimastigales.